Molecule: ribosomal RNA, 407 nt
Filed under: uncultured bacterium
Lineage: Bacteria
Description: partial 16S ribosomal RNA
Rfam family: Bacterial small subunit ribosomal RNA
Source: RNAcentral
AUUGAACGCUGGCGGCAGGCCUAACACAUGCAAGUCGAGCGGAGCGGAGGAAGGGUGAGUAAUGCCUAGGAAUCUGCCUGGUCGUGGGGGAUAACGUCAGGAAACGGGAGCUAAUACCGAAUACUCUUGGAUGCGCCUAGGUCGGAUUAGCUAUGUGGUGGGGUAAAGGUCGACCAAGGCGACGAUCCGUAACUGGUCUUGGAGGAUGAUCAGCCACACUGGAACUGAGACACGGUCCAGACUCCUACGUGAGGCAGCAGUGGGGAAUAUUGGACAAUGGGCGAAAGCCUGAUCCAGCCAUGCCGCGUGUGUGAAGAAGGUCUUCGGAUUGUAAAGCACUGUAAGUUGGGAGGCGUUACCAACAGAAUAAGCACCGGCUAACUUCGUGCCAGCAGCCGCGGUAAUUC